UGGUCAGCAAGAAGUGCCACAGGCAUGGAGCGGGCAUGAUCCCGGGUGGGUCUGGGCUGCCCUCUCGAUGAUUACGGUUCCAGAAACUGCACAAAGCCACGGUUAUGACCACACUCAGACUUAAUUCUGCUGUCAGAAAACCACAGUGUUCAACCUUGAAACUCAUGAAGUAAGAAGAGAGGAAAGGAUCUCUCAGCAGGUACAGAGUGCAUUUCUCUCCCCAGAGGUCUACUUUCAAAGAAGUUCUGAAUGUACAAACACAUAAUGAAAUAUUAAUACUGUUUCUUUUCUGUUAGAAAAGCAGCAGUCCUCAUUCCCGCAUCAAAGAGAAUUUUGAAGGUUCUUCACACAACAAAUGCAUACACCAACAAAGAUUGGAAAAUUCUUGAGAAAGACGAGGGGGAAGAAGAAUUUUAUACACACAUACACACACUGAUAUUUUUAAAAUAGUAAUUCUUGUACAUUUAAACUAAAGGAACCUGACUUUUGAAAAAAGAUCUUGUUUUCAGUUUAAUUUUAGGUUUUUAAAAACAUUAUCCCUUUAAUGUGUGUGCAAUGAAUCCUAUAUCCUUUGAACACAUCAUUCAUAAUACUUAUUUUUUCUAAUGUUAAGAAAACAAAUAUUGAUUUUUAAGCAAUGAAUUUAUAGAAAAUAAAGUUCUUUCU
Long non-coding RNA from Hemicordylus capensis (graceful crag lizard), 666 nucleotides. RefSeq lists it as uncharacterized. The transcript is spliced from 3 exons. The record is from RefSeq and is a predicted model, not a curated record. NCBI's taxonomy places the organism in Eukaryota, Metazoa, Chordata, Lepidosauria, Squamata, Cordylidae.